ACCCCUACGGGGGGCAGCAGUAAGGAAUAUUGGUCAAUGGGCGGAAGCCUGAACCAGCCAUGCCGCGUGCAGGAAGACUGCCUUAUGGGUUGUAAACUGCUUUUGUCCAGGAAUAAACCUAGAUACGUGUAUCUAGCUGAAUGUACUGGAAGAAUAAGGAUCGGCUAACUCCGUGCCAGCAGCCGCGGUAA
Molecule: ribosomal RNA, 191 nt
Filed under: uncultured Sphingobacterium sp.
Lineage: Bacteria; Pseudomonadati; Bacteroidota; Sphingobacteriia; Sphingobacteriales; Sphingobacteriaceae
Description: partial 16S ribosomal RNA
Rfam family: Bacterial small subunit ribosomal RNA
Source: RNAcentral